AGUAGUAAUUAAGGAAAAACUCUCAUUUUUAAAAUCUUUUUGUUUUUACUUUUAUUUUAAUUAAGCAAUAUUGAAAGUUUAGUUUCUCCUUUAUUAUAGGGUCUAUGACCCUCAAUGUUACAUGAUAGACGUAGAAAAAGCCACACGCAAGGGCAAUAUGGACAGAAGUAGCCGGGUCUAAAAUUGUACAAAUGACAUGAGGGACAUAGAGAGAGCCCCACACAAGCAAAAUAUCGAUAGAAGCAACUGGGCCUAAGAUUGUUAAAAUCGUAUUGUGAGCGUUGGAGGAGCCCCAUGGAAAGACAAUAUGGACAGAAGUAGCCGGGUCUAAGACUGUCAUAGUCAUAUCAGGGACGUAGAAGGAGGCCCACGCAUUGACAAUAUAGGCAGAUGUAGCCGGGUCUAAGAUUGUCAAGAUCACAUGAGGGACGUAGAAGGAGCCCCACG
This is a long non-coding RNA of Agrilus planipennis (emerald ash borer), 447 nucleotides long. RefSeq lists it as uncharacterized. The record is from RefSeq and is a predicted model, not a curated record. The transcript has 5 exons. Lineage: Eukaryota; Metazoa; Arthropoda; Insecta; Coleoptera; Buprestidae.